This 399-nucleotide unclassified non-coding RNA is filed under the name soil metagenome. RNAcentral's name for it is "partial contains 5.8S ribosomal RNA, internal transcribed spacer 2, and large subunit ribosomal RNA". The stretch from base 1 to 121 matches the Rfam family "5.8S ribosomal RNA", at positions 35 to 154 of the family's 154-position model. The record is from RNAcentral.
GAUGAAGACGUAGCGAAAUGCGAUACUUGGUGUGAAUUGCAGAAUCCCGUGAACCAUCGAGUCUUUGAACGCAAGUUGCGCCUCAAGCCAUUAGGUUGAGGGCACGUCUGCCUGGGCGUCACAUAUCGUUGCCUGAUGCCAGUUUCCUCGUGAUGGGUGACUGUGCAGGGCGAAUGAUGGCUUCCCGUGAGCAUUGUUGCCUCAUGGUUGGUUGAAAAUUGAGUCCUUGGUAGGGAGCGCCGUGAUAGAUGGUGGUUGAGUGACGAACGAGACCCAAUCAUGUGAGACCCCUACCGAAUUUGGCCUUCAUGACCCACAUGCGUCUUUGGAACGCUCAUGACGAGACCUCAGGUCAGGCGGGGCUACCCGCUGAGUUUAAGCAUAUCAAUAAGCGGAGGA